CGCGCGUUCCCAUUUUGUUGGUUUCUGAGAUCGCCGUAAUGAUUAAUAGGGAUAGUUGGGGGCAUUUGUAUUCCGUCGUCAGAGGUGAAAUUCUUGGAUUGCCGGAAGACAAACUAUUGCGAAAGCAUUUGCCAAGGAUGUUUUCAUUGAUCAAGAACGAAGGAAGGGGGAUCGAAAACGAUCAGAUACCGUUGUAGUCUCUUCUGUAAACUAUGCCAAUUGGGGAUCAGCUCAGGAUUUUUAAUGACUGAGUUGGCACCCGAAGAGAAAUCUUUAAAUGAGGUUCGGGGGGGAGUAUGGUCGCAAGGCUGAAACUUAAAGGAAUUGACGGAAGGGCACCACCAGGUGUGGAGCCUGCGGCUUAAUUUGACUCAACACGGGGAAACUCAC
This 390-nucleotide ribosomal RNA is filed under the name fungal sp. RNAcentral describes it as "SSU rRNA". It matches the Rfam family "Eukaryotic small subunit ribosomal RNA", at positions 827 to 1218 of the family's 1831-position model. The record is from RNAcentral. Lineage: Eukaryota; Fungi.